CGCUGUCGUCAGCUCGUGUCGUGAGAUGUUGGGUUAAGUCCCGCAACGAGCGCAACCCACGUCUUUAGUUGCCAGCAUUAAGUUGGGCACUCUAGAGAGACCGCCGGUGAUAAACCGGAGGAAGGUGUGGAUGACGUCAAGUCAUCAUGCCCCUUAUAUCCUGGGCUACACACGUACUACAAUGCUACGGACAAAGGGCAGCAAACUCGCGAGAGCUAGCAAAUCCCAUAAACCGUGGCUCAGUUCAGAUCGUAGGCUGCAACUCGCCUACGUGAAGGAGGAAUCGCUAGUAAUCGCAGGUCAGCAUACUGCGGUGAAUACGUUCCCGGGCCUUGUACACACCGCCCGUCACACCAUGGAAGUUGGCCACGCCCGAAGUCGUUACUCCAACCCUUGUGGAGGAGGAUGCCGAAGGUGGGGCUGAUGACUGGGGUGAAGUCGUAACAAGGUAGCCGUACCGGAAGGUGCGGCUGGAUCACCUCCUAA
RNAcentral lists this ribosomal RNA (486 nucleotides) under uncultured cyanobacterium. RNAcentral describes it as "bacterial SSU rRNA". It matches the Rfam family "Bacterial small subunit ribosomal RNA", at positions 1047 to 1533 of the family's 1533-position model. The record is from RNAcentral. Lineage: Bacteria; Bacillati; Cyanobacteriota.